This 492-nucleotide ribosomal RNA is filed under the name uncultured bacterium. Its description in RNAcentral is "partial 16S ribosomal RNA". It matches the Rfam family "Bacterial small subunit ribosomal RNA", at positions 29 to 507 of the family's 1533-position model. The record is from RNAcentral.
AGUGAACGCUGGCGGUAGGCCUAACACAUGCAAGUCGAACGGCAGCACAGUAAGAGCUUGCUCUUACGGGUGGCGAGUGGCGGACGGGUGAGGAAUACAUCGGAAUCUACUUUUUCGUGGGGGAUCACGUAGGGAAACUUACGCUAAUACCGCAUACGACCUACGGGUGAAAGCAGGGGAUCUUCGGACCUUGCGCGAUUGAAUGAGCCGAUGUCGGAUUAGCUAGUUGGCGGGGUAAAGGCCCACCAAGGCGACGAUCCGUAGCUGGUCUGAGAGGAUGAUCGGCCACACUGGAACGGAGACACGGUCCAGACUCCUACGGGAGGCAGCAGUGGGGAAUAGUGGACAAAGGGCGCAAGCCUGAUCCAGCCAUACCGCGUGGGUGAAGAAGGCCUUCGGGUUGUAAAGCCCUUUUGUUGGGAAAGAAAAGCAGCAGGUUAAUACCCCGCUGUUCUGACGGUACCCAAAGAAUAGGCACCGGCUAACUUCGUG